This 468-nucleotide ribosomal RNA is filed under the name uncultured Pseudomonadaceae bacterium. RNAcentral's name for it is "bacterial SSU rRNA". It matches the Rfam family "Bacterial small subunit ribosomal RNA", at positions 337 to 797 of the family's 1533-position model. Lineage: Bacteria; Pseudomonadati; Pseudomonadota; Gammaproteobacteria; Pseudomonadales; Pseudomonadaceae. The record is from RNAcentral.
UCCAACGGGUGGCAGCAGUGGGGAAUAUUGGACAAUGGGCGAAAGCCUGAUCCAGCCAUGCCGCGUGUGUGAAGAAGGUCUUCGGAUUGUAAAGCACUUUAAGUUGGGAGGAAGGGCAGUAAGCUAAUACCUUGCUGUUUUGACGUUACCAACAGAAUAAGCACCGGCUAACUCUGUGCCAGCAGCCGCGGUAAUACAGAGGGUGCAAGCGUUAAUCGGAAUUACUGGGCGUAAAGCGCGCGUAGGUGGUUCAGCAAGUUGGAUGUGAAAUCCCCGGGCUCAACCUGGGAACUGCAUCCAAAACUACUGAGCUAGAGUACGGUAGAGGGUGGUGGAAUUUCCUGUGUAGCGGUGAAAUGCGUAGAUAUAGGAAGGAACACCAGUGGCGAAGGCGACCACCUGGACUGAUACUGACACUGAGGUGCGAAAGCGUGGGGAGCAAACAGGAUUAGAUACCCGGGUAGUCUG